AAUCCAGGAAAUUCCUGUCCGAGAAGUUGUCACGGAUGCCCACCCACAAAUCUCUGCCUUGCUUAAUCCAGAGCGUGGGCGCUACAAAAAUAUUCACCACUCUCUCGACAUAUGGCAUGCUGCCAAAAAUCUUGGAAAGAAGUUACGACGGGCUGGCACAAUAAAAAAUCUGAAUUCAAUUCUAGCCUGGAUGAAGGACAUCGUUAAUCA
Molecule: long non-coding RNA, 210 nt
Organism: Rhinichthys klamathensis goyatoka
Lineage: Eukaryota; Metazoa; Chordata; Actinopteri; Cypriniformes; Leuciscidae
Exons: 3
Source: RefSeq, a predicted model, not a curated record